Molecule: ribosomal RNA, 621 nt
Filed under: Kurtzmaniella fragi
Lineage: Eukaryota; Fungi; Ascomycota; Pichiomycetes; Serinales; Debaryomycetaceae
Description: eukaryotic LSU rRNA
Rfam family: 5.8S ribosomal RNA (bases 229-382)
Source: RNAcentral
CAAGGUUUCCGUAGGUGAACCUGCGGAAGGAUCAUUACAGUAUUCUUUUGCCAGCGCUUAAUUGCGCGGGGAAAAACCUUACACACAAUGUUUUUCUUUUUACUUGAAAAAUUUACUUUGGUUUGGGUUAGAAAUAAGUCGGGGCAAAGGUUUAUUAAACUUCAAUUUUAUUAUUGAACUGUUAUUUAACUAAUUGUCAAUUUGUUGAUUAAAUUCAAAAAUCUUCAAAACUUUCAACAACGGAUCUCUUGGUUCUCGCAUCGAUGAAGAACGCAGCGAAUUGCGAUAAGUAAUAUGAAUUGCAGAUUUUCGUGAAUCAUCGAAUCUUUGAACGCACAUUGCGCCCUUUGGUAUUCCAAAGGGGAUGCCUGUUUGAGCGUCAUUUCUCUCUCAAAUCUUCGGAUUUGGUUUUGAGUGAUACUCUUGGUAAAACUAAGCGUUUGCUUGAAAAGUAUUGGGAUGAGUAGUACUAGAUAGUGCUAAACUGUUUCAAUGUAUUAGGUUUAUCCAACUCGUUGAUCUGUUUUAGUAUUUUUUUAGUACAUAGGGUCGGGCUUACAACAACAAACAAAGUUUGACCUCAAAUCAGGUAGGAUUACCCGCUGAACUUAAGCAUAUCAA